AGGGAAUCUUCCACAAUGGACGCAAGUCUGAUGGAGCAACGCCGCGUGAGUGAAGAAGGUUUUCGGACCGUAAAGCUCUGUUGUUGGUGAAGAAGGAUAGAGGUAGUAACUGGCCUUUAUUUGACGGUAAUCAACCAGAAAGUCACGGCUAACUACGUGCCAGCAGCCGCGGUAAUACGUAGGUGGCAAGCGUUGUCCGGAUUUAUUGGGCGUAAAGCGAGCGCAGGCGGAAGAAUAAGUCUGAUGUGAAAGCCCUCGGCUUAACCGAGGAAUUGCAUCGGAAACUGUUUUUCUUGAGUGCAGAAGAGGAGAGUAGAACUCCAUGUGUAGCGGUGGAAUGCGUAGAUAUAUGGAAGAAUACCAGUGGCGAAGGCGGCUCUCUGGUCUGCAACUGACGCUGAGGCUCGAAAAGCAUGGGUAGCGAACAGGAUUAGAUACCCUGGUAGUCCAUGCCGUAAAACGAUGAGUGCUAAGUGUUGGGAGGCUUCCGCCUCCCAGUGCUGCAGCUAAACGCAUUAAGCACUCCGCCUGG
This 532-nucleotide ribosomal RNA is filed under the name uncultured bacterium. RNAcentral's name for it is "partial 16S ribosomal RNA". It matches the Rfam family "Bacterial small subunit ribosomal RNA", at positions 356 to 876 of the family's 1533-position model. The record is from RNAcentral.